RNAcentral lists this ribosomal RNA (439 nucleotides) under uncultured bacterium. RNAcentral describes it as "bacterial SSU rRNA". It matches the Rfam family "Bacterial small subunit ribosomal RNA", at positions 340 to 773 of the family's 1533-position model. The record is from RNAcentral.
UACGGGAGGCAGCAGUGGGGAAUAUUGCACAAUGGGCGCAAGCCUGAUGCAGCCAUGCCGCGUGUAUGAAGAAGGCCUUCGGGUUGUAAAGUACUUUCAGUCGUGAGGAAGGUGUUAAGGUUAAUAACCUUAGCAAUUGACGUUAGCGACAGAAGAAGCACCGGCUAACUCCGUGCCAGCAGCCGCGGUAAUACGGAGGGUGCGAGCGUUAAUCGGAAUUACUGGGCGUAAAGGGCACGCAGGCGGUUAAUUAAGUUGGAUGUGAAAUCCCCGGGCUUAACCUGGGAAUGGCAUUCAAGACUGGUUAGCUAGAGUCUUGUAGAGGGGGUAGAAUUCCAUGUGUAGCGGUGAAAUGCGUAGAGAUGUGGAGGAAUACCGGUGGCGAAGGCGGCCCCUGGACAAAGACUGACGCUCAUGUGCGAAAGCGUGGGGAGCGAAA